Molecule: ribosomal RNA, 238 nt
Filed under: Bacillus paralicheniformis
Lineage: Bacteria; Bacillati; Bacillota; Bacilli; Caryophanales; Bacillaceae
Description: partial 16S ribosomal RNA
Rfam family: Bacterial small subunit ribosomal RNA
Source: RNAcentral
GGAGAGUUUGAUCCUGGCUCAGGACGAACGCUGGCGGCGUGCCUAAUACAUGCAAGUCGAGCGGACAGAUGGGAGCUUGCUCCCUGAUGUUAGCGGCGGACGGGUGAGUAACACGUGGGUAACCUGCCUGUAAGACUGGGAUAACUCCGGGAAACCGGGGCUAAUACCGGAUGCUUGAUUGAACCGCAUGGUUCAAUUAUAAAAGGUGGCUUUUAGCUACCACUUACAGAUGGACCCG